UUGCCCUGCUUCUUAUGGAAGACUAGUGAUUUUGUUGUUCUGUAGUUCAUCUCACGACAACAAGUCACAGUCUGCCUUAUGGGGCCUGGCCUC
This is a microRNA precursor of Anolis carolinensis (green anole), 93 nucleotides long. Ensembl annotates it as aca-mir-7-3. Its record names the gene aca-mir-7-3. The record is from Ensembl. Lineage: Eukaryota; Metazoa; Chordata; Lepidosauria; Squamata; Anolidae.